RNAcentral lists this ribosomal RNA (430 nucleotides) under Pseudomonadota bacterium. RNAcentral describes it as "Proteobacteria bacterium partial 16S ribosomal RNA". It matches the Rfam family "Bacterial small subunit ribosomal RNA", at positions 355 to 776 of the family's 1533-position model. The record is from RNAcentral. Lineage: Bacteria; Pseudomonadati; Pseudomonadota.
UGGGGAAUAUUGGACAAUGGGCGAAAGCCUGAUCCAGCCAUGCCGCGUGUGUGAAGAAGGUCCUCGGAUUGUAAAGCACUCUAAGCGAGGAGGAGGGUACUGGUAUUAAUACUACCAGGUACUGGACGUUACUCGCAGAAUAAGCACCGGCUAACCCUGUGCCAGCAGCCGCGGUAAUACAGAGGGUGCGAGCGUUAAUCGGAUUUACUGGGCGUAAAGCGUGCGUAGGCGGCUAAUUGAGUCGGAUGUGAAAUCCCCGAGCUUAACUUGGGAAUUGCCUUCGAUACUGGUUAGCUAGGGUGUGGGAGAGGAUGGUAGAAUUCCCGGUGUAGCGGUGAAAUGCGUGGGGGUCUUGUGGAAUACCGAUGGCGAAGGCAGCCAUCUGGCCUAACACUGACGCUGAGGUACGAAAGCAUGGGGAGCAAACAGG